AAACACGGACCAAGGAGUCUAGCAUGUGCGCGAGUCAUUGGGACAUAACUAAACCUAAAGGCGCAAUGAAAGUGAAGGUUCGCCUUGCGCGAACCGAGGGAAGAUGGGCGGUCCACCACAAGUGGCCGCCCCGCACUCCCGGGGCGUCUCGUUCUCAUCGCGAGAAGAGGCGCACCAAGAGCGUACACGCUGGGACCCGAAAGAUGGUGAACUAUGCCUGGUCAGGACGAAGUCAGGGGAAACCCUGAUGGAGGUCCGUAGCGAUUCUGACGUGCAAAUCGAUCGUCGGAACUGGGUAUAGGGGCGAAAGACUAAUCGAACCAUCUAGUAGCUGGUUCCCUCCGAAGUUUCCCUCAGGAUAGCUGGCGCUCGUAGCGCACGAGUCUCAUCCGGUAAAGCGAAUGAUUAGAGGCAUUGGGGUCGAAACGGCCUCAACCUAUUCUCAAACUUUAAAUGGGUGAGAUCUCCGGCUUGCUCGAACUAUUCAUUGAAGCCGUGAGACACGGAUCAGAGUGCCAAGUGGGCCAUUUUUGGUAAGCAGAACUGGCGCUGUGGGAUGAACCAAACGCCGAGUUAAAGCGCCCAAAUCGACGCUUAUAGGAUACCAUGAAAGGCGUUGGUAACUUAAGACAGCAGGACGGUGGCCAUGGAAGUCGGAAUCCG
RNAcentral lists this ribosomal RNA (663 nucleotides) under Calitys scabra. Its description in RNAcentral is "partial 28S large subunit ribosomal RNA". It matches the Rfam family "Eukaryotic large subunit ribosomal RNA", at positions 657 to 1270 of the family's 3401-position model. Lineage: Eukaryota; Metazoa; Arthropoda; Insecta; Coleoptera; Trogossitidae. The record is from RNAcentral.